UCUACUACGUUGUCAUGAGGUGCCCAAAUCGGUCUUUGACCGAGGGAGAAUCGGGAACUAGGUGAAACUCCUAGGCGGGCCCGCCACUGUAAACGGAGAGUCUAUGUUCAAUAUGCCACUGAGAAUUCCUCGGGAAGGCGAACAGUGACGUUUGAUCCGCAAGCCAGGAGACCGGCCUCGAUGAUUUCGUAAAC
This 194-nucleotide non-coding RNA is filed under the name Acidithrix ferrooxidans. The record is from RNAcentral. Lineage: Bacteria; Bacillati; Actinomycetota; Acidimicrobiia; Acidimicrobiales; Acidimicrobiaceae.